RNAcentral lists this ribosomal RNA (253 nucleotides) under uncultured bacterium. RNAcentral describes it as "partial 16S ribosomal RNA". It matches the Rfam family "Bacterial small subunit ribosomal RNA", at positions 524 to 776 of the family's 1533-position model. The record is from RNAcentral.
UACAGAGGUCCCAAGCGUUGUUCGGAUUCACUGGGCGUAAAGGGUGCGUAGGCGGUCGGGUAAGUCUGGCGUGAAAUCUCCAAGCCUAACUUGGAAACUGCGUUGGAUACUAUCCGGCUCGAGGAAUGGAGGGGAGACUGGAAUACUUGGUGUAGCAGUGAAAUGCGUAGAUAUCAAGUGGAACACCAGUGGCGAAGGCGAGUCCCUGGACAACUUCUGACGCUGAGGCACGAAAGCUAGGGGAGCAAACAGG